UUUUUUUAAAUUUUCGAUUUAUUGCCCGGCUGCUGCUAAAGGGAUUUCCACGCCAGUGCAAGACAUGAUGAGUAGCUAAAAGAAAGCAGAUCAACGUUAAUCUUUUUUUAUUCUUGCACAAGGCACCAGUCCCGAGCAUGCUUGGUUAAUCUGUUAAAGUUGACUAACAGGGAAUCAGUCAUCCACCAUUCAUUCCCGCCAGUAGCAGCUAUCUGCUGCUUUCACUUCGAGUGCUUCAACUCGGAAUAAGACUGGAGUCUGGAGUACAUGUUAAUAAAAUGUGACGAGAAAUAUAAUUAUCAAUCCAAUGUGAAUUCCCUAUUAUUCAAUUUAGUUGACUUUUGAACUUUCAACCGGAUUUAAAACCACACGUUCGAAAUAGAAAUAGUCAUAGAGUUUCUUUUCAGCAAUGGAUAUCUUAUUUUGGAGGCCUACGAAACGGCGAAGAAGAAACUUUUGGGACGACUCUGAGAGUGAUGGUAAAAAAAAUUCUUGUAAUAAGCAAAUAUACCUGUCAGCUAGUGCUACUUCCGGUCUAUUUGUUUACAAUUUUACGUCACGACUUCAUUUAGUCGGCAUAAAUGUCUUAAACGAUAAAAACAUAAAAAGAAUACAUAGGUACACAGUCACAGAUAAGUUACGUUGUUAAAAUAGAAGUAGUUUGUUCAAACAGAUUUUUUUUUAUGAAUGUCAUUAGCUUUCUUAGCUUUAAUAUUUUAAGGAC
This 724-nucleotide long non-coding RNA is filed under the name Mytilus galloprovincialis (Mediterranean mussel). Lineage: Eukaryota; Metazoa; Mollusca; Bivalvia; Mytilida; Mytilidae. The record is from RNAcentral.